GAGGGAGAGGACAGUGAGUGAGAGAGAGGGAGAGGACAGUGAGAGGACAGUGAGAGAGAGGGAGAGCGUGGGAGAGGACAUUGAGAGAGAGGGAGAGGCCAGUGAGAGGGAGAGGACAGUGAGAGAGAGGGAGAGGAGAGGGAGAGGACAGUGAGAGAGAGGGAGAGGCCAGUGAGAGGGAGAGGACAGUGAGAGAGAGGGAGAGGACAGUGAGAGCGAGGCCUCAUCUUCUCUGUUUCCUCCUCAUAGUGAGGGGUUCAGGAACGUCCAUCACUGGAGCUCCUCACCAUCUGGUGGCCUGGUGACUCAUGGCUGUUAUCUAUGGACUCUGUUAUUCAACCAGCACAGUUCCCCUAGAGUUACUCAACAUUAACAUAGAUCAUUCCCCUAGAGUUACUCAACAUUAACAUAGAUCAUUCCCCUAGAGUUACUCAACAUUAACAUAGAUCAGUCCCCUAGAGUUACUCAACAUUAACAUAGAUCAGUCCCCUAGAGUUACUCAACAUUAACAUAGAUCAGUUCCCCUAGAGUUACUCAACAUUAACAUAGAUCAGUUCCCCUAGAGUUACUCAACAUUAACAUAGAUCAGUUCCCCUAGAGUUACUCAACAUUAACAUAGAUCAGUCCCCUACAGUUCCCCUAGAGUUACUCAACAUUAACAUAGAUCAGUCCCCUAGAGUUACUCAACAUUAACAUAGAUCAGUUCCCCUAGAGUUACUCAACAUUAACAUAGAUCAUUCCCCUAGAGUUACUCAACAUUAACAUAGAUCAGUCCCCUAGAGUUAUUCAACAUUAACAUAGAGCAGUUCCCCUAUAGUUACUCAACAUUAACAUAGAUCAGUCCCCAAGAGUUACUGAACAUUAACAUAGAUCAGUCCCCUACAGUACCCCUGUAGUUACUCAACAUUAACAUAGAUCAGUAUCCUAGAGUUACUCAACAUUAACAUAGAUCAG
RNAcentral lists this long non-coding RNA (954 nucleotides) under Salmo salar (Atlantic salmon). RNAcentral's name for it is "lncRNA (ENSSSAG00000090143.1)". The record is from RNAcentral. Lineage: Eukaryota; Metazoa; Chordata; Actinopteri; Salmoniformes; Salmonidae.